This 467-nucleotide ribosomal RNA is filed under the name uncultured bacterium. Its description in RNAcentral is "partial 16S ribosomal RNA". It matches the Rfam family "Bacterial small subunit ribosomal RNA", at positions 29 to 507 of the family's 1533-position model. The record is from RNAcentral.
ACGAACGCUGGCGGCGUGCUUAACACAUGCCAGUCGAACGGAAAGGCCCUGCUUUUGUGGGGUGCUCGAGUGGCGAACGGGUGAGUAACACGUGAGUAACCUGCCCUUGACUUUGGGAUAACUUCAGGAAACUGGGGCUAAUACCGGAUAGGAGCUCCUGCUGCAUGGUGGGGGUUGGAAAGUUUCGGCGGUUGGGGAUGGACUCGCGGCUUAUCAGCUUGUUGGUGGGGUAGUGGCUUACCAAGGCUUUGACGGGUAGCCGGCCUGAGAGGGUGACCGGCCACAUUGGGACUGAGAUACGGCCCAGACUCCUACGGGAGGCAGCAGUGGGGAAUAUUGCACAAUGGGCGGAAGCCUGAUGCAGCAACGCCGCGUGCGGGAUGACGGCCUUCGGGUUAUAAACCGCUUUCGCCUGUGACGAAGCGUGAGUGACGGUAAUGGGUAAAGAAGCACCGGCUAACUACGUG